AUCCAGCUGACGAGUCCCAAAUAGAACGAAACACGCGUCCUGUAU
Molecule: non-coding RNA, 45 nt
Filed under: Schistosoma mattheei
Lineage: Eukaryota; Metazoa; Platyhelminthes; Trematoda; Strigeidida; Schistosomatidae
Source: RNAcentral